This 73-nucleotide non-coding RNA is filed under the name unclassified sequences. Its description in RNAcentral is "RAGATH-18 RNA". It matches the Rfam family "RAGATH-18 RNA". Rfam says of the family: Actinobacteria, Firmicutes, Fusobacteria, Thermotogae (1 example). Nearby to self-cleaving ribozyme genes The record is from Rfam by way of RNAcentral.
ACUGUGGAUUGCUAUACAAACUGUAGUAGGUAGAUAUUUUGUAUCAUCAAGGCAGAGUACGGUGAAACAGUAA